UACGUAGGGCGCAAGCGUUGUCCGGAAUUAUUGGGCGUAAAGAGCUCGUAGGCGGUUUGUCGCGUCUGGUGUGAAAACUCAAGGCUUAACCUUGAGCUUGCAUCGGGUACGGGCAGACUAGAGUGUGGUAGGGGAGACUGGAAUUCCUGGUGUAGCGGUGAAAUGCGCAGAUAUCAGGAGGAACACCGAUGGCGAAGGCAGGUCUCUGGGCCACUACUGACGCUGAGAAGCGAAAGCAUGGGGAGCGAACAGGAUUAGAUA
RNAcentral lists this ribosomal RNA (261 nucleotides) under uncultured prokaryote. RNAcentral's name for it is "partial 16S ribosomal RNA". It matches the Rfam family "Bacterial small subunit ribosomal RNA", at positions 524 to 784 of the family's 1533-position model. The record is from RNAcentral.